GGGGUAACGGCCCACCAAGGCAACGAUCAGUAGGGGUUCUGAGAGGAAGGUCCCCCACAUUGGAACUGAGACACGGUCCAAACUCCUACGGGAGGCAGCAGUGAGGAAUAUUGGUCAAUGGGCGAGAGCCUGAACCAGCCAAGUAGCGUGCAGGAAGACGGCCCUAUGGGUUGUUAACUGCUUUUAUAAGGGAAUAAAGUGAGUCUCGUGAGACUUUUUGCAUGUACCUUAUGAAUAAGGACCGGCUAAUUCCGUGCCAGCAGCCGCGGUAAUACGGAAGGUCCGGGCGUUAUCCGGAUUUAUUGGGUUUAAAGGGAGCGUAGGCCGGAGAUUAAGCGUGUUGUGAAAUGUAGACGCUCAACGUCUGCACUGCAGCGCGAACUGGUUUCCUUGAGUACGCACAAAGUGGGCGGAAUUCGUGGUGUAGCGGUGAAAUGCUUAGAUAUCACGAAGAACUCCGAUUGCGAAGGCAGCUCACUGGAGCGCAACUGACGCUGAAGCUCGAAAGUGCGGGUAUCGAACAGGAUUAGAUACCCUGGUAGUCCGCACGGUAAACGAUGGAUGCCCGCUGUUGGUCUGAACAGGUCAGCGGCCAAGCGAAAGCAUUAAGCAUCCCACCUGGGGAGUACGCCGGCAACGGUGAAACUCAAAGGAAUUGACGGGGGCCCGCACAAGCGGAGGAACAUGUGGUUUAAUUCGAUGAUACGCGAGGAACCUUACCCGGGCUUGAAUUGCAGAGGAAGGAUUUGGAGACAAUGACGCCCUUCGGGGUCUCUGUGAAGGUGCUGCAUGGUUGUCGUCAGCUCGUGCCGUGAGGUGUCGGCUUAAGUGCCAUAACGAGCGCAACCCCUCUCCUUAGUUGCCAUCAGGUUAAGCUGGGCACUCUGGGGACACUGCCACCGUAAGGUGUGAGGAAGGUGGGGAUGACGUCAAAUCAGCACGGCCCUUACGUCCGGGGCUACACACGUGUUACAAUGGCAGGUACAGAGAGACGGUUGUACGUAAGUACGAUCAAAUCCUUAAAGCCUGUCUCAGUUCGGACUGGGGUCUGCAACCCGACCCCACGAAGCUGGAUUCGCUAGUAAUCGCGCAUCAGCCAUGGCGCGGUGAAUACGUUCCCGGGCCUUGUACACACCGCCCGUCAAGCCAUGAAAGCCGGGGGCGCCUAAAGUCCGUGACCGUAAGGAGCGGCCUAGGGCGAAACUGGUAAUUGGGGCUAAGUCGUAACAAGGUA
This 1234-nucleotide ribosomal RNA is filed under the name metagenome. RNAcentral's name for it is "bacterial SSU rRNA". It matches the Rfam family "Bacterial small subunit ribosomal RNA", at positions 254 to 1498 of the family's 1533-position model. The record is from RNAcentral.